GUCCAGACUCCUACGGGAGGCAGCAGUGGGGGAUAUUGCACAAUGGGGGGGACCCUGAUGCAGCGACGCCGCGUGGGUGAAGAAGCGCCUCGGCGCGUAAAGCCCUGUCAGCAGGGAAGAAAAUGACGGUACCUGAAGAAGAAGCCCCGGCUAGCUACGUGCCAGCAGCCGCGGUAAUACGUAGGGGGCAAGCGUUAUCCGGAUUUACUGGGUGUAAAGGGGGCGCAGACGGCGAUGCAAGCCAGGAGUGAAAGCCCGGGGCCCAACCCCGGGACUGCUCUUGGAACUGCGUGGCUGGAGUGCAGGAGGGGCAGGCGGAAUUCCUGGUGUAGCGGUGAAAUGCGUAGAUAUCAGGAGGAACACCAGUGGCGAAGGCGACUUUCUGGACUGUACCUGACGCUGAGGCGCGAAAGCGUGGGUAGCGAACGGGAUUAGAUACCCGGGUAU
Molecule: ribosomal RNA, 447 nt
Filed under: uncultured bacterium
Lineage: Bacteria
Description: bacterial SSU rRNA
Rfam family: Bacterial small subunit ribosomal RNA
Source: RNAcentral